RNAcentral lists this ribosomal RNA (350 nucleotides) under uncultured soil bacterium. RNAcentral describes it as "bacterial SSU rRNA". It matches the Rfam family "Bacterial small subunit ribosomal RNA", at positions 26 to 371 of the family's 1533-position model. The record is from RNAcentral.
AGGACGAACGCUGGCGGCGUGCUUAACACAUGCAAGUCGAACGAUGAUGCCAGCUUGCUGGUGGAUUAGUGGCGAACGGGUGAGUAACACGUGGGUGAUCUGCCCCGAACUUUGGGAUAAGCCUGGGAAACUGGGUCUAAUACCGGAUAGUACCUUCCCUUGCAGUGGGGGUUGGUGGAAAGCUCCGGCGGUUUUGGGAUGGGCCCGCGGCCUAUCAGCUUGGUUGGUGGGUAAUGGCCUACCGAAGGCGACGGACGGGUAGCCGGCCUGAGAGGGCGACCGGCCAGACGUGGACUGGAGACACGGCCCAGACCGUCGUACGGGAGCGAGCGAGGUGGGAAUAUGCAGAA